AGUGAACGCUGGCGGUAGGCCUAACACAUGCAAGUCGAACGGCAGCACAGUAAGAGCUUGCUCUUACGGGUGGCGAGUGGCGGACGGGUGAGGAAUACAUCGGAAUCUACUUUUUCGUGGGGGAUAACGUAGGGAAACUUACGCUAAUACCGCAUACGACCUACGGGUGAAAGCAGGGGAUCUUCGGACCUUGCGCGAUUGAAUGAGCCGAUGUCGGAUUAGCUAGUUGGCGGGGUAAAGGCCCACCAAGGCGACGAUCCGUAGCUGGUCUGAGAGGAUGAUCAGCCACACUGGAACUGGGACACGGUCCAGACUCCUACGGGAGGCAGCAGUGGGGAAUAUUGGACAAUGGGCGGAAGCCUGAUCCAGCCAUACCGCGUGGGUGAAGAAGGCCUUCGGGUUGGAAAGCCCUUUUGUUGGGAAAGAAAAGCAGCAGGUUAAGACCCCGCUGUUCUGACGGUACCCAAAGAAUAAGCACCGGCUAACUUCGUG
RNAcentral lists this ribosomal RNA (492 nucleotides) under uncultured bacterium. RNAcentral's name for it is "partial 16S ribosomal RNA". It matches the Rfam family "Bacterial small subunit ribosomal RNA", at positions 29 to 507 of the family's 1533-position model. The record is from RNAcentral.